Molecule: ribosomal RNA, 497 nt
Filed under: uncultured bacterium
Lineage: Bacteria
Description: partial 16S ribosomal RNA
Rfam family: Bacterial small subunit ribosomal RNA
Source: RNAcentral
GAUGAACGCUGGCGGCGUGCCUAAUACAUGCAAGUCGAGCGAACAGACGAGGAGCUUGCUCCUCUGACGUUAGCGGCGGACGGGUGAGUAACACGUGGAUAACCUACCUAUAAGACUGGGAUAACUUCGGGAAACCGGAGCUAAUACCGGAUAAUAUAUUGAACCGCAUGGUUCAAUAGUGAAAGACGGUUUUGCUGUCACUUAUAGAUGGAUCCGCGCCGCAUUAGCUAGUUGGUAAGGUAACGGCUUACCAAGGCAACGAUGCGUAGCCGACCUGAGAGGGUGAUCGGCCACACUGGAACUGAGACACGGUCCAGACUCCUACGGGAGGCAGCAGUAGGGAAUCGUCCGCAAUGGGCGAGAGCCUGACGGAGCAACGCCGCGCGAGUGAUGAAGGUCUUCGGAUCGUAAAACUCUGUUAUUAGGGAAGAACAAAUGUGUAAGUAACUAUGCACGUCUUGACGGUACCUAAUCAGAAAGCCACGGCUAACUACGUG